Non-coding RNA from Daucus carota subsp. sativus, 129 nucleotides. NCBI's taxonomy places the organism in Eukaryota, Viridiplantae, Streptophyta, Magnoliopsida, Apiales, Apiaceae. The record is from Rfam.
AAAGUAGAUUGCAGCCAAGGAUGACUUGCCGAAAAUUUCAAAUAUCAGUAGCAUUAUUAGAUUUACCUUGAUGAAAAUGAAUCUGAAUAUCAGUCUCGGCAAGUUGUCUCUGGCUACAUUUUCCUUUCU